Molecule: long non-coding RNA, 1531 nt
Filed under: Anser cygnoides (Swan goose)
Lineage: Eukaryota; Metazoa; Chordata; Aves; Anseriformes; Anatidae
Description: lncRNA (ENSACDG00005016142.1)
Source: RNAcentral
CGGCGUGCCCGGGAGCGGCCGGAGCCGGCGUGGCGCUGCGCGGCGAAGCUGAGACCGCAGAGGGGUGCUGCGCCUGCUCCCGGACCUGGUGACGGGAAGGACUAACAAACACAAGUGCCCACACCAUUCCCGGGAACUGCUGCAAUUGCAUUGACUUCAGGCUAUGAAGACAUCGCGUGUCCUGCCCCAGCAGAGCGUAUCGAGGCACAGGCUCAGCCACGUGGCCGGCUGUGUGGGACACGCCAACCCGCUGCCCAGGACCUCAGGACAGGCAAGGGCUGGGUGAAAGCGUGCAGCCAGGCACCGUGCUUCCCGUUUUCCCUCCUCGUGUUAAAUCUCGUUGGUGUUCAGACUGUGGCCGCUGUCCGAGCGGGUUUGUUUCCUGGGUGCCCUGGGAGCCCCGAGGACCUGCAGGCCUGUGUGCUCAGCCCCGGCCCUUCCCCGGCCCCGGCCCAGCUGCGCGUGCGUGAGGAGCCCCCAGCCAGUGCCUGCUCCUUCUGGCUGUGCUUUACCAUCACUGCUGUGCCUGCGCUUCUGGGUCUGUUUUCUGUUGUCUUUGGAUCAGGCUCAAUGCUUUUUCACCCCCGGUGAAAAUCAAAAAUUCGGUAAAGAAUAAGGUACGAACAGCUGGCCGAGCUACUGGCAUUGAGGGGCCCAUUCCUUAAGUGAGGUUUACUCUCAGUUUAUUUUUCCUGGCAUUUAGCUUAAGGCACUUCAGUGAGAGAAGAUGUUUUCACUUUGGACAAUCCUCAAGGAGAUUCAAUUUCGGGGGAAAAAAAAUUACGCUUCCUUCUCAAACUAGCUCUUGAAAUACUCAGAAGGCCUCUUUUGCAGCCGCCUUUAGGUGGUGGGGUGUCCUCCUGAACAAGUGCUGUCUGCACACAGCUGUGACACUUGCUCAGUUGUACAGUCCCCCUGGCUUUUGGGAACCAUUAUCACUAGUCAGACUUUCUGAAUGUCACAGUAGGCAGUGUUUCACCCAAACAGUGAACCCUGGGAUGGCAAGAGGUUCUGGGGAAGGUGGUUAACGUACCUCGAGUGGACGGGCUGUAAAUGCAGGUUGGCAAUGAUUCUGUAGUAAUUUCUUAACUGAGCAUUGUCACCUGGCAGUGUUUUCCAGAGGUGAAUGACACCAAACGAAGUCUUUUUGGUGUUUCAUUAAGGACUAAUUGUGCACUGCUGAUGUUAACGGUAUAGUUAAUUGACUUCUGUGAGCACCGGGCAGAAUCAGGAGUUUCACGAGCACUUGGUGCCACUGCAGGUCAUGCAGAGUAGCUUUUGGUCUCAGUUAAUCGACUUUUUGACUGAAUCGUACCGAGGUAUCAGCACAAACUGAACUUCUUGUAGAAACUGGGGGAUCUAAGUGAGUAUUCUCUGAUGUCUAAAGAGGGUUGUACUCAUGUUAGAGUCCUACCCAGGAGAGUCUCUGAGACCUUCUUAGCAGUCUUCUCUUCCCACCACUGGUAGGAACUCAGGUCUAAGACGAAGUAGCAUGAGCAGCCAGCAGGUUUGCUGUGAGCAGGUUCAGAAU